Molecule: ribosomal RNA, 667 nt
Filed under: uncultured bacterium
Lineage: Bacteria
Description: bacterial SSU rRNA
Rfam family: Bacterial small subunit ribosomal RNA
Source: RNAcentral
AACGCGUGGAUAACCUGCCGUAUACAGGGGGAUAAACUAGAAAUAGGUGCUAAUACCGCAUAAGCGCACGGUUCCGCAUGGAACAGUGUGAAAAACUCCGGUGGUAUACGAUGGAUCCGCGUCUGAUUAGCCAGUUGGCGGGGUAACGGCCCACCAAAGCGACGAUCAGUAGCCGGCCUGAGAGGGUGAACGGCCACAUUGGGACUGAGACACGGCCCAAACUCCUACGGGAGGCAGCAGUGGGGAAUAUUGCACAAUGGGGGAAACCCUGAUGCAGCGACGCCGCGUGAGUGAAGAAGUAUUUCGGUACGUAAAGCUCUAUCAGCAGGGAAGAAAAAAAGUCCUUUGGACUUUGGACGGUACCUGACUAAGAAGCCCCGGCUAACUACGUGCCAGCNNCCGCGGUAAUACGUAGGGGGCAAGCGUUAUCCGGAUUUACUGGGUGUAAAGGGAGCGUAGACGGCGUGCCAAGUCUGAUGUGAAAGGCCGGGGCUCAACCCCGGGACUGCAUUGGAAACUGGCAUGCUAGAGUGCCGGAGGGGCAAGCGGAAUUCCUAGUGUAGCGGUGAAAUGCGUAGAUAUUAGGAGGAACACCGGUGGCGAAGGCGGCUUGCUGGACGGUAACUGACGUUGAGGCUCGAAAGCGUGGGGAGCAAACAGGAUUAGA